UAACACGUAGGUAACCUGCCCAUGUGUCCGGGAUAACUGCUGGAAACGGUAGCCAAAACCGGAUAGGUAUACAGAGCGCAUGCUCAGUAUAUUAAAGCGCCCUUCAAGGCGUGAACAUGGAUGGACCUGCGGCGCAUUAGCUAGUUGGUGAGGUAACGGCCCACCAAGGCGAUGAUGCGUAGCCGGCCUGAGAGGGUAAACGGCCACAUUGGGACUGAGACACGGCCCAA
Molecule: ribosomal RNA, 230 nt
Filed under: uncultured bacterium
Lineage: Bacteria
Description: partial 16S ribosomal RNA
Rfam family: Bacterial small subunit ribosomal RNA
Source: RNAcentral